Long non-coding RNA from Trichosurus vulpecula (common brushtail), 446 nucleotides. RefSeq lists it as uncharacterized. The transcript is spliced from 3 exons. The record is from RefSeq and is a predicted model, not a curated record. Lineage: Eukaryota; Metazoa; Chordata; Mammalia; Diprotodontia; Phalangeridae.
GGAACUACAGUCAGGUCACGCAAGAUCUUUCAGCUUCUAUGUUAAGUGAGAGGAGAAAUUGGAAUAUGAAAUUCUAAAACCAAAGGAGCUUGGACCACAACUAAGGAUCAACUACCCAGCAAAAUUGAGUAUAAUUUUCCAGGUCUUGUUGGUUCUGCUUACUCAACCUCCCUGACAGCGUUCCCUUUUUACAUAUGCAGUGCAACCACCCAGCCCCACAUUGUGUUUGAGUGUAACUCAGCACAUGAAAGAGAAAAUUGACCAGAGUGGAUUGAAUGAAGAUGAAUUCCUUUGUCCAGAUUGUUGGAGGUAUCCGAGUCCCAUGAUCAAGCCAUGUUCUCAAGAGAAGGAGUUGAAGACAUUUAGCCUACCUCCUCACUAAUUGUUCACCUAUCAAGGUUGUUUUCCAUCUGUCAGGGCACCUCUUUAUCCAAAGGCAUUUAACC